GCGAGAGUGGUGAAAUUGGCAGACACGCUAGACUUAGGAUCUAGUACCUUACGGUGUGCGGGUUCAAGUCCCGCCUCUCGCA
Molecule: transfer RNA, 82 nt
Rfam family: tRNA
About the family: Transfer RNA (tRNA) molecules are approximately 80 nucleotides in length. Their secondary structure includes four short double-helical elements and three loops (D, anti-codon, and T loops).
Source: Rfam